This is a small nuclear RNA of Gorilla gorilla gorilla (western lowland gorilla), 107 nucleotides long. NCBI's taxonomy places the organism in Eukaryota, Metazoa, Chordata, Mammalia, Primates, Hominidae. The record is from Ensembl.
GUGCUCACUUUGGCACCACAUAUACUAAAAUUGGAACAAUACAGAGAAAAUUAGCAUGACCCCUGUGCAAGGAUGACACAAAAAUUCAUGAAGCAUGACAUUAAAAA